GAUGAACGCUGACAGAAUGCUUAACACAUGCAAGUCAACUUGAACUUCGGUUUGGGUGGCGGACGGGUGAGUAACGCGUAAAGAACUUGCCUCACAGCUAGGGACAACAUUUGGAAACGAAUGCUAAUACCUGAUAUUAUGAUUAUAUGGCAUCGUAUAAUUAUGAAAGCUAUAUGCGCUGUGAGAGAGCUUUGCGUCCCAUUAGCUAGUUGGAGAGGUAACAGCUCACCAAGGCGAUGAUGGGUAGCCGGCCUGAGAGGGUGAUCGGCCACAAGGGGACUGAGGCACGGCCCUUACUCCUACGGGAGGCAGCAGUGGGGAAUAUUGGACAAGGGACCGAGAGUCUGAUCCAGCAAUUCUGUGUGCACGAUGAAGUUUUUCGGAAUGUAAAGUGCUUUCAGUUGGGAAGAAAAAAAUGACGGUACCAACAGAAGAAGUGACGGCUAAAUACGUG
This 454-nucleotide ribosomal RNA is filed under the name uncultured bacterium. RNAcentral's name for it is "partial 16S ribosomal RNA". It matches the Rfam family "Bacterial small subunit ribosomal RNA", at positions 28 to 507 of the family's 1533-position model. The record is from RNAcentral.